AUUGAACGCUGGCGGCAGGCCUAACACACGCAAGUCGAACGGUAACAGGAAGCAGCUUGCUGCUUCGCUGACGAGUGGCGGACGGGUGAGUAAUGUCUGGGAAACUGCCUGAUGGAGGGGGAUAACUACUGGAAACGGUAGCUAAUACCGCAUAACGUCGCAAGACCAAAGAGGGGGACCUUCGGGCCUCUUGCCAUCGGAUGUGCCCAGAUGGGAUUAGCUAGUAGGUGGGGUAACGGCUCACCUAGGCGACGAUCCCUAGCUGGUCUGAGAGGAUGACCAGCCACACUGGAACUGAGACACGGUCCAGACUCCUACGGGAGGCAGCAGUGGGGAAUAUUGCACAAUGGGCGCAAGCCUGAUGCAGCCAUGCCGCGUGUAUGAAGAAGGCCCUCGGGUUGUAAAGUACUUUCAGCGGGGAGGAAGGCGAUAAGGUUAAUAACCUUGUCGAUUGACGUUACCCGCAGAAGAAGCACCGGCUAACUCCGUGCCAGCAGCCGCGGUAA
This 506-nucleotide ribosomal RNA is filed under the name uncultured bacterium. Its description in RNAcentral is "partial 16S ribosomal RNA". It matches the Rfam family "Bacterial small subunit ribosomal RNA", at positions 30 to 523 of the family's 1533-position model. The record is from RNAcentral.